This 255-nucleotide ribosomal RNA is filed under the name uncultured bacterium. RNAcentral describes it as "partial 16S ribosomal RNA". It matches the Rfam family "Bacterial small subunit ribosomal RNA", at positions 524 to 777 of the family's 1533-position model. The record is from RNAcentral.
UACGAAGGGGGCUAGCGUUGCUCGGAAUCACUGGGCGUAAAGGGUGCGUAGGCGGGUCUUUAAGUCAGGGGUGAAAUCCUGGAGCUCAACUCCAGAACUGCCUUUGAUACUGAAGAUCUUGAGUUCGGGAGAGGUGAGUGGAACUGCGAGUGUAGAGGUGAAAUUCGUAGAUAUUCGCAAGAACACCAGUGGCGAAGGCGGCUCACUGGCCCGGUACUGACGCUGAGGCGCGAAAAGCGUGGGGAGCAAACAGGG